Non-coding RNA from Bombyx mori (domestic silkworm), 84 nucleotides. NCBI's taxonomy places the organism in Eukaryota, Metazoa, Arthropoda, Insecta, Lepidoptera, Bombycidae. The record is from Rfam.
UUAACUCAAAUUUGUAUGGAGUUGGAACGUUUGCUUACGUUUGCCGCCAGGGGCGCUGUUUCAAUUGUAUACAAGUUUGAGUUA